CGCAUCGAACUACCUACCACCUA
RNAcentral lists this non-coding RNA (23 nucleotides) under Arabidopsis thaliana (thale cress). Lineage: Eukaryota; Viridiplantae; Streptophyta; Magnoliopsida; Brassicales; Brassicaceae. The record is from RNAcentral.